Molecule: non-coding RNA, 377 nt
Organism: Nothobranchius furzeri (turquoise killifish)
Lineage: Eukaryota; Metazoa; Chordata; Actinopteri; Cyprinodontiformes; Nothobranchiidae
Source: RefSeq, a predicted model, not a curated record
UGGCGGACCGAGAGGGCAGAGCCGUGGCAGUGACGAAGACGAUGGGUAACGAGAUGAUGCUAGCUCCCUUCACUCUGAGCAGUUAUUAGAAGUGGAGGAAGUUUCUCCCCCUCCUUACCCAGACACUCGAGAAGAAAGGGACCAAGUCUAUUUGGAGGAGACAGGCGGACCUGAGCCUUAUUGUUUUGAGCUUGUGAGUUGCCUGAAACUACCAGAACCGACCCAACAGAACCAGCUCUGAAUGGUGAUCCUCUGGUGUCUGCAGCUGGUCUCCUCUGCUGGUGUCGUCAGGAUCAGGAGCUUCCAGAAGAAUGUGCCUUUCAAUGACUCUUCCCCCCUUAUUUGUUAUAUUAAUUAAAUAAAUCUCACUUUAUAUA